Molecule: long non-coding RNA, 1794 nt
Filed under: Sus scrofa (pig)
Lineage: Eukaryota; Metazoa; Chordata; Mammalia; Artiodactyla; Suidae
Description: lncRNA (ENSSSCG00060048245.1)
Source: RNAcentral
AUAGUUUUCUUUUUUGGUGGUAUCUCUGUCUGGUUUUGGAAUGAGGGUGAUGGUGGCCUCAUAGAAUGUCUUUGGGAGUAUUCCUUCUUCUUCAACCUUUUGAAAGAGUUUAAGGAGGAUGGGCACCAAUUCCUCUUUAUAUGUUUGAUAGAAUUCACCUGUGAAGCCAUCUGGUCCUGGACUUUUAUUUGUAGGGAGUGAUUUUAUGACCUCUUCAAUUUCAUUUCUAGUGAUCGGUCUGUUCAGUUGGUCUGUUUCUGCUUGAUUCAGUUUUGGCAGGCUGUAAGAUUCUAGAAAAUUGUCCAUUUCUUCCAGAUUGUCAAACUUGUUGCCAUACAGUUGUUCAUAGUAUUCUCUUAUGGUUUUUUGUAUUUCUGCUGUAUCCGUUGUGAUUUCUCCUUUUUCAUUUAUAAUUUUGGUUAUUUGGGUUCUUUCUCUCCUCUUUUUAGUGAGUCUGGCCAGGGGUUUGUCAAUUUUGUUCACCUUUUCAAAGAACCAGCUCUUGGUUUUAUUAAUUUUCUCUAUUGUUUUUUGAGUCUCUAUUUUAUUGAUUUCUUCUUUGAUCUUUAUAAUUUCCUUCCUUCUGCUGACUUUAGGACUUUUUUGUUCUUCUUUUUCUAAUUCGUUUAGGUGGAGGGUUAAGUUGUCAAUUUGGGAUCUUUCUUCUUUUUUGAGAAAGGCCUGGAUUGCUAUAAAUUUCCCUCUGAGCACUGCUUUCGCAGCAUCCCAUAGAUUUUGAGAGGUUGUGUCUUCAUUAUCAUUUGUUUCAAGGUAGUUUUUAAUUUCCUUCUUGAUUUCCUCAUUGACCCAUUGGUUUUUUAGUAGCAUGUUGUUUAGUCUCCAUGUAGUAGGUUUUUUCUCUUUCCUUUUCCCAUGGUUGAUUUCUAAUUUCAUGGCAUUGUGGUCAGAGAAGAUACUUGAGAUAAUUUCUAUAUUCUUAAAUUUGUUUAGGAUAGCUUUGUUCCCCAGUAUGUGAUCAACCCUUGAGGAAGUUCCAUGUGCACUUGAGAAGAUGUAUAUUCUGAUUUUUUUGGAUAUAAUGUCCUGAAAAUGUCAAUUAAGUCUAACUUUUCUAUUGUUUCCUUUAGGAUCUCUUUUGCCUUAUUGAUUUUCUGUCUAAAGGAUCUGUCCAUUGAUGUGAGUGGGGUGUUAAAUUCUCCUACUAUGAUUGUAUUUCCAUCAAUUUCUCCUUUUAUGUCUUUUAGUAUUUGUUGUAUGUAUGUUGGUUCUCCUAUAUUAGGGGCAUAUGUAUUGAUGAUUGUAAUAUCCUCUUCUUGAAUGGAUCCUUUUACCAUUAAAUAGUGUCCUUCUUUGUCUUUCUUUAUGGCCUUCAUUUUAAAGUCUAUUUUGUCUGAUAUGAAUAUUGCAACUCCUGCUUUCCUGUCUUGUCCAUUGGCAUGAAAUAUCUUUUCUCAUCCCCUUACUUUCAGUCUGUAUGUGUACAUUGCCCUAAGGUGAGUCUCUUGUAGACAGCAGAUUUUAGGUUUUUACUUUUUAUCUAAUCCACCACUCUGUGUCUUUUGAUUGGAGCAUUUAGUCCAUUGACAUUUAAACUGAUUAUUUAUAGAUAUGUAUUUAGUGCAAUUUUAACCCCUGUUUUCCAGUCGAUUCUAUGUUUCUCCUUUCUUUUUUUUUUUGGUUAGAUGAUUUCCAUUUAUUUUAUGCUUGAGUACUUUUCUUUUCAGUUUUUGUGAAUGUAAUGUUUGGUUUUGAUUUGUGGUUGCCCUGUUUUUUUAAUAUCUUAACCUCUUCCUGUAUCUGCUUGCUUUAGCUUGAUAGUCAUAUAGGCUCAAA